GUCGCUGUAGCCCAGUUGGUAGAGCGUCGACAGUACAGAUGGCGAAGGUCGCUGGUUCAAAUCAAGCCUGCGGUG
Phthorimaea operculella (potato tuberworm) is the source of this 75-nucleotide non-coding RNA. Lineage: Eukaryota; Metazoa; Arthropoda; Insecta; Lepidoptera; Gelechiidae. The record is from the annotation of a GenBank genome assembly.